AUUAAGUUAAUUAAUGUUAGCUAAGGCAUAUAGUUUAACCGACAUGGAUUUUUGUUUAAAAUAAGACGUGUUCCCAGUUGUAUUUGAUAUUGUAGAAGCAGAAUAUACCUUUUCGUGGUAAAUUGUAUAGGUUAGCCUUAGUUUGAAUUAAGGUAACGUAACUAUCCACGUAGCUAUUUUUAUAAGUUUACCAGAUGUCCUUUUAUGUUAUGUCCUUAUGUUGUAAUUUAAGUUUUGUAUUGGCAAAUGUAAAAUAAGUCAUGUCUACUAAUAAGCGUUCGGUAUCAUGAAGCAGAUUUUCCAGAAUUGGUUCCAUGACAUCCUUUUAUGUACUUGUGUGUUGAAUAAUAUAAGGUCCUUAAGGUUAAUUUGUCAGUGCAUUUGACGUGUUUUUACAUAUUAAAAAGAUUAUAUUAAUUUAAAUUACUCCUAUUUUUCAUGUUCAUUACUUGCAGUAUAGUUUGAUACAUAACCAUUACAUGAGAUACAUGCUAACUUAUUUUGUGAUUCUCCUCCUUGUUUGUGUGUAUUUUUUAAGUUUAAUUAAUGCUGAUGGAGGUUUUGACUGAAGAUACGCCAUUAACACCACAGCACAAAGUACUUGCAAUAGUUUACACAGAUGGAAAGGAAGCAUGGAGAAAAACUUCUAAAGUAGGAAGUAUCCUGGAAUUGAUUAGCACCACCAAAAGUCAGCUGACUAGUCUUGUAGAGUUAGACAGAAUUUUAAGAUUCGAUGCAGAUUUUGAGGAUUUUAUUGAUGUUGAUCAUACUGAUGGAGUGCGGGAGCUGGACAAGUUCAAGUUAUACUUCAUCCAUGUUAAUAACCAAAAUUUUCAAGAAGCAAGCAGACAAUCAGAGCAGAACGAUUCCUCCAGUGUAGCAGAGAUUGGCGUCACUCAUGGCCUGCUUACACUGCUUGAACAGAAAGCACCCAUCGUCUUAAGAGAGCAUGAAGAGACAAAGACACUUUCGAUUUCAUCAAGAAAACUGCUUGUUAAAAUCUGUGUCAGUAAUUUGGUGGAGAGUCAUGGCUUGUAAGUUUUUGUUUAAUGUGUACAGUUUAUUUCUGUCAGUGAUGAACAUACUACAGGUACCACACAUCUUGUUAGGACAACUGUUCAGAGAAAACUAUGAUUCAUUAAUUACUUAAUUUCAAUUAAUUCUUAUAUAAAGUUAAAUAUUUGUUUCUAUUGGUUGCAAGGGAGAAACAUGAGCAGGUAAAAUUGCACAAUACAAAUGGGACUGUUUGUAUCAUCACUAAAGAUGUGCUUCAACUACAAUAAAUAUAUCACUAAAAAAGUGUUUUUAUGCUGUCACUUUAGUUAUCCAUCUGUGGCCCAAAAGCUAACACUUGCAAAGGAAGUAGUGUCACUGUUUCCUUCACUAAAGAUUCACGUCCCAUUUGGUGAAAACGAAGGACACGAGCAUUUUUUUGAUCAGUCGUCACACAGUGGGUUUAUAGAAAUGAGACUAAGGAACCUCAGACGCAAGCUUCAGCAGAACCAACGCACCUACAAUUUGAAACGCUGUCAUUCUACUGAAAUGCCUUCUGUGGAAAGUGCAAAUGAAGCAGAGCCAAGUGAAUGGCUAACCCUGAUCAAGAGGAUGUGGCCAUCAUCCGAAAAUGCAGCCUCAAUAAAAGCUGCAGUUGACAAAACCUUCAAUUACAGAAGAAAAUGGAUUGCAACAAAAUCACCUUCUGUAUCUGACAUCUUGCGUGAAUUCCCAAGAUUUCUGGACAUGCCAACACUGGUUGAUUCUGAGUUUUCCAAAAUUACUGAUGGGAAAGAAGACUUGUUCAUCAGGCGAUGGGAAGGGACCAUUAUUCCGAAACU
Non-coding RNA from Paramormyrops kingsleyae, 1835 nucleotides. The record is from RefSeq and is a predicted model, not a curated record. Lineage: Eukaryota; Metazoa; Chordata; Actinopteri; Osteoglossiformes; Mormyridae.